CCCUUAGAUGUUCUGGGCUGCACGCGCGCUACACUGAUGCGCUCAACGAGUUUUAACCUUGCCUGGAAAGGUUGGGUAAUCUUUGAAACUGCAUCGUGAUGGGGCUAGAUUAUUGCAAUUAUUAAUCUUCAACGAGGAAUGCCUAGUAAGCGUGAUUCAUCAAAUCGCGUUGAUUACGUCCCCGCCCUUUGUACACACCGCCCGUCGCUACUACCGAUUGAAUGGUUUAGUGAGGACUCCUGAUUGGCGCCGCCGCCCCGGCAACGGAGCAGCGGACUGCCGAAAAGUUGUUCAAACUUGAUCAUUUAGAGGAAGUAAAAGUCGUAACA
This 329-nucleotide ribosomal RNA is filed under the name uncultured eukaryote. RNAcentral describes it as "partial 18S ribosomal RNA". It matches the Rfam family "Eukaryotic small subunit ribosomal RNA", at positions 1470 to 1796 of the family's 1831-position model. The record is from RNAcentral.